GAGGGUAUAGCUCAGUGGUAGAGCACAUGUUUAGCGUGCACGAGGUCCUGGGGUUCAAUCCCCAGUACCUCCA
RNAcentral lists this transfer RNA (73 nucleotides) under Camelus dromedarius (Arabian camel). It matches the Rfam family "tRNA". Rfam says of the family: Transfer RNA (tRNA) molecules are approximately 80 nucleotides in length. Their secondary structure includes four short double-helical elements and three loops (D, anti-codon, and T loops). Further hydrogen bonds mediate the characteristic L-shaped molecular structure. tRNAs have two regions of fundamental functional importance: the anti-codon, which is responsible for specific mRNA codon recognition, and the 3' end, to which the tRNAs corresponding amino acid is attached (by aminoacyl-tRNA synthetases). tRNAs cope with the degeneracy of the genetic code in two manners: having more than one tRNA (with a specific anti-codon) for a particular amino acid; and 'wobble' base-pairing, i.e. permitting non-standard base-pairing at the 3rd anti-codon position. The record is from Rfam by way of RNAcentral. RNAcentral also lists the same sequence under 1 other name. Lineage: Eukaryota; Metazoa; Chordata; Mammalia; Artiodactyla; Camelidae.